This 542-nucleotide ribosomal RNA is filed under the name Creaseria morleyi. Its description in RNAcentral is "bacterial SSU rRNA". It matches the Rfam family "Eukaryotic small subunit ribosomal RNA", at positions 408 to 917 of the family's 1831-position model. Lineage: Eukaryota; Metazoa; Arthropoda; Malacostraca; Decapoda; Palaemonidae. The record is from RNAcentral.
UACCACAUCCAAGGAAGGCAGCAGGCACGCAAAUUACCCAAUCCCAGCUCGGGGAGGUAGUGACGAAAAAUAACAAUGCGGGACUCUUGCGAGUCUGCGUAAUUGGAAUGAGCACACUUUAAAUCCUUUAGCAACAACCAAUUGGAGGGCAAGUCUGGUGCCAGCAGCCGCGGUAAUUCCAGCUCCAAUAGCGUAUAUUAAAGUUGUUGCGGUUAAAAAGCUCGUAGUUCGAGUUCAGUUCCGGACUGGGGUGGGAGGUCACCGCCCGGUGCUUCCCCGUCAGGCUCCGAACAGCUUCCCUGUGUGGAAGCCAAGCCGGUUCUGCCGGGGUGCUCUUUACCGAGUGUCCCGCGCGGCCGGCCAGUUCACCUUGAAUAAAUGAGAGUGCUCAAAGCAGGCUAUUCUCUAGUACAAUGCCCGAAUGUUCUUUGCAUGGAAUGAUGGAAGAUGAUCUCGGUUCCAUUUUCUUGGUGGUGGGAGCCCGAGGUAAUGAUAAACAGGGACUGUCGGGGGCAUCCGUACUACGACGCGAGAGGUGAAAU